GGCGGUCUUGCUAACAGCAGUUUCUGCCAGUUAAUGUUCUUCUCCGUUAGUAAUUACUAAUUUGUAUUUUGUGAACACGACUGGACCUAAAAAUGGCGUUUAAAUACGAUAUUAUAACAUUAAUAGAACUCGUGCGAAUGCGACCAUGCAUAUGGGACAAAUCCAUAGAGGAAUUUAAGGAUAAAAUCCUUAAACAAGAGGCAUGGUUGGAGAUAUUCCAAUUACUCGAAGAAAAUUAUAUGAAUUUAUCAAGUGACGAAAAAAAAGAAGUUGGAUAUAAAAUAACAACUAAGUGGACUUAUGUAAGAGAUGCUUAUUUCAAGUCACUUAAAACAAAAUCGGGACAAGGAGCUAAAAAAACCUAUGUAUAUGGGAGGCAUCUUGACUUUUUAUUAAAAUGUUACAAAAAAGAAAAUACAGAUGACUCCUUAACUAGUCCCAAAAAUGGUUCUUUUAUUAAGGAAGAUGCGACGAACAGAGACGAUUAUAUUACACCAGAUUUGUCAACAAAUGAAGAAAUAGAAACAAUUCAGUCACCGGAACAGAAAAGAUCCAAAAAAAGUGCAACUACUAAUAGAAACUUAGAUAAUAUUGAACUGCAGCUGAUACUAGAAGAAUUAAAAAAUAAUAAGUGCCAGAAUUCACAGCCACAAAGACAACUAACUGAUGAGGAAAUUUUUUUUCAAUCAUUCACACCGUACAUAAAAGAUAUGUCAGAAUCGGAAAAAAUCGAAUUGCAAAUGGACAUCUUGACUGCUAUUAAAAAAAUUAAACAAAAUCGGCUCCAAAAUAAUUACGAUGUUACCUCUCAGCAGCCAUCGACGUUUAUUUCGCCAUCAUAAUACAUAUUAUCAAUUUGUAAAUUAUUGACGAAAACAAUAAAAAGACCACUCAAGUA
Molecule: long non-coding RNA, 898 nt
Organism: Aricia agestis (brown argus)
Lineage: Eukaryota; Metazoa; Arthropoda; Insecta; Lepidoptera; Lycaenidae
Exons: 2
Source: RefSeq, a predicted model, not a curated record